AUUGAACGCUAGCGGGAUGCUUUACACAUGCAAGUCGAACGAGUGGCGGACGGGUGAGUAAUAUAUCGGAACGUGCCCAGUAGCGGGGGAUAACUACUCGAAAGAGUGGCUACUACCGCAUAACAUUGGCGCGGCCGAUAGCGGAUUAGCUAGUUGGUGGGGUAAAGGCUAACCAAGGCAACGAUCCGUAGCUGGUUUUAGAGGACGACCAGCCACACUGGGACUGAGACACGGCCCAGACUCCUACGUGAGGCAGCAGUGGGGAAUAUUGGACAAUGGGGGAAACCCUGAGCCAGCCAAGCAGCGUGUAUGAGAAGGCCUUCGGGUUGUAAAGUACUUUUGGCAGAGAAGCGGUAUCUGCAUAAUAAGCACCGGCUAACUACGUGCCAGCAGCCGCGGUAAUUC
This 405-nucleotide ribosomal RNA is filed under the name uncultured bacterium. RNAcentral's name for it is "partial 16S ribosomal RNA". It matches the Rfam family "Bacterial small subunit ribosomal RNA", at positions 30 to 526 of the family's 1533-position model. The record is from RNAcentral.